Long non-coding RNA from Cercocebus atys (sooty mangabey), 810 nucleotides. RefSeq lists it as uncharacterized. The transcript is spliced from 2 exons. NCBI's taxonomy places the organism in Eukaryota, Metazoa, Chordata, Mammalia, Primates, Cercopithecidae. The record is from RefSeq and is a predicted model, not a curated record.
CAGCAACUUGCCACAAUUGCCAUUGUCCAGGUUCACCAUCUCCUGUCUAUUCUCUCAGAUCAUCUAACACCUUUAAAAGUGAUUCUAUGACAACCAACAUUUUAUAAGCCACGGCAAAGAAAUGGAAAACAGACUGCCUAUAUUGGUGCGUGAAAGAGAGACGAGUAGAGAAGGCUAAACAACAAAAAUUCAUUCAGAAUCCUCCUCCUCUAUUCUGAUUCUUGUAUUUUUAUCCUCUUCCUAAAUUCUGGACAUGGUAAGUUUGGGGCAAACUUUUUCUCUUUUCCUCUACAUUCCUGUUUAUAAAAUAAGAACUUACUCCAUCUCAAAAAAUACCAGUGAAAGGAUGAUUUUCCUCCUUCCCUAAAAUUCUUUUACCCCAUGGAAGUAAAAUCAACAAUACCAGUAAGAGUCUAUCAGCUCCUGGCCAAGGUUAAUGUAUUGGUCUGGUUCUCAUAUCCCUCUUGAGCUGUCUACUUCCACCAGGUUUGAGGCAGGUCAGAGUCCUCCAUGUGGCAGCUUAGGUAUCUGCCUAAAGAUCCAAAUUUCCUCUUAUAAAUAGUAGGUCAUUUUAAAGGCUUUUGAUGAAUUUUGACCCCUGCCAACUUUUCAUUUGAUUCAAAAAUCAGAGCUUAGAGCAGUCUAUUAAAUGCUUCCUUCAUAAAUAUUAAAAUUGGUGCAUGGACAAGGGAACCCCAAAAUAUAUGCACAAGAAGUACAUGAAGAUCAGAUUAUGAUAAGGGAUGAACAAACACCAACUUUAGGAUGAGGUUUGCUCAGUUUCAAGAACUAAAUUUGUUUAAAAAAAAA